AAAAAAACCUCCUCACCAGCAGCUCCGUCUCAAACUUUAACAAGCCUGCGUGAUCCUGAGCUCUUAUCCGAGCGCCGAUCGUCAGAUUGAAAUGUGUCAUAAUCGAGUGAAACCGCAGAUUAGAGAAAGUCAUUUGAUUUCUUCUUCUUCUGAACAUGUUGUCAAACCACGAGGUGACAGAUGAUGUUUUUUUUCUGUUCCUCUUGGAAACAUUCAACCACAAAAACACACUUUUAUAUUUAUUUGAUGUUUACAAGAAUUCAGGAUCAAACCAGGACUAACUCUCUUUAGGAGACGGUAAGAUCAGGAGUCAUCGAACACUUGAAACAUGACCGCCUGAGUUCUCAGGUAUUUGAGGAUUAAACCUGAAGUUCUUUUCUGAUGUUAGUCCAGUCUGCAGAAUUAAGUCGUGGCACAUCGUACUGAUCUGUAUUUGUGUUUUACAGUCCAGUUGAGACUCUUUUUACCGACCGUGUGCCAAAUACAGGGAUACAAACAGUUUUGAGUGUAAAUAAUAAGUUUAAACCACCAAACUUAGAGGUUUAAACCCGUGCGUUGUCCUCUCAUGCAUCAGGACUUGUUUCCAGGCGUCACUUUUUUAAAACCCGAAGACAAAGAAAAGACAAAAUCUGAUUCUCAGGGUUUUAAAAAGUUACGUGGAAAAGAAAAAUCGACAAAAGCGUGACUGUAAAGAGGCGUCAGAGCUCUUUAACUGUGGCCAAGCUUGGCGAAUGUGGCCGCCAUCUUGUUUUUCUUGUUGCUUAGUGACAGAAAAAGCGUCUAAAAGUGAUGGAAACAGGUCUGAGCUGCAGGGUCAGAGGUGGUCAGGAGUCUGGGUUUGAGGUUUUUUAUGAAACAGAAGGAAACUCCCGAAUCAAACUCGUGUUGGAAAAAACUCAGAAGAGAGACGAGAUUAGGAGGAGAGAACCUGGCGAGGCUGCGGUGAGCCCUAAGCGCCGCCGCCGCCCGACGUCCUCCGCCGCUGUCUGCGCUGUAAGACGGCGGAGUAUCGCACCUACCAGGCAGAUGGAAAUUCAAACACCGAGUGCCAAGAUCUUUCUGUGGAUUCCCGACUUCCAAAUAGCUUAGGAUAAUUCUCCGUCUAAGCUAAUACCUGGUGAGGAAGUAAAGCCUGAAGGAUGGGAUUAUUUAAUGUGGCGUUUUUAAUGUGUGACACGCUAAUCACAUCUCAGAACAGGAAUACUUCAACCAUUUAACUUUCGUCAGGGGAGGAGAGACGUUUUUGGAGGGGGGGUAAGCCUUCAAAAGAGACCCCCUUCCCUCCUUCCACCGCCACCUCAUACCGCCGAAACCUGCUGCAAAACCUCUGUGACAAUGACACAUUGUGGAGGGAGAAAGGGGGGAGGCAGGGGGAGGCGGCGUAACCUCGAGUGCACGAGCGAGGGAAGUUUUUCUCCUGCCUGUUGUGGCGAGCGCACACAGCAACGCAGGGAGUCUUUCCUAAGCAUUACACAUCAAUCCGGGGCCGAGACGGCAGACAGAAUUACUCCUCUGUGUACCCGUAAUGAUUUCCUCACAAUCCUCGCAUAUACCCGCGCCUGAAUCUCCCGCGGAUUUACGGAUAAAGCCGAGUUUUCCUCCCCGGAUCCCAAAGUUUAACAAGGUGAAGCAGACGAGCCCCGAUCUGACCACUCUGAGCUGGAAGUUAAUGCUGCACGCUUGACAAGCCGCAUCACAGACAGGCGGCGAGGAGGGUUCAGACGCUCGUCUCUCUAUCUGCGUCAUCUGUCUGUGAUCAUUAAUGGUUAAACAUCUGAAGCGUUGCUAUUAUAUCAGCGUGGAAAGUUAUUAAAACACACACACACUCACACACACGCACACACACACAGAGGCUGCCCUGGUGUCUUUAAGGAUCGCUCUGAUAGCGGUGAGGAAAUCAAUGAAGGGCCUGAGAGCAGCCGGUCUGGCAGACUUGACACGCAACAGAGGAAGGUAAAUUAUUGGAACUUUAAUUACUUUGAUCCGUCAUGCAUUGUAGCAUUGUGUCAGGGAAGUCAAUGCCAUGACAGACGCCGAACAAAGGCCAGCGCCGCAUUUUCAUAACAUCUUCACUCCCUUUUCCUAAUGCCUGAUUAAAGCCGGGGUGUUGAGGACCAAAAGCCCCCAGCCUCGGCCCCCGUUUUUUUUAUUUAUUUCUUCCCCUUCUCCCUCUCCUCUGCCUCCAUGCACUGAUUUAGAAACUCAUUUUGAAAGCUCUGUUUACCCAACUCAUUACUGAAGUCAGGGAUUGAAUGCCGCUCUAUUAUGGGCCUCUGCACCACGGCUUUACAAACAAGCACAAUGCGCCGUGCUAUCACCGUUAUCACAUUGUACCGCACGUAAUGUAUCGUGCUGUUUUCCUCCCAUAAAUAUAAGUCUGUGUUUUCAGCUAAAUUAAGAAGGAUUUUCCUCCACAAUGAAGCCUGUCCUUCUCUGAGUGGCCGCACAAGAAAACAAUGAGGAAAAAAACCCACAAAGUAAAUGAGCGAGAGUGAGAAAUUCCUUUUUUAUCAUUAAAGGGAGAGCAAAAUUACUCCUUUUUCCCCCUUUUUCAUGAAUAUUCUGCCACUUAGCGUUGGGAUGAAUCUGCAGGAUUGUUCUCGGAGCUGAUAAAUGGCCAGCAUGUGUGGUAAUUUAGAAGCGCACAUUAAUCUCCAAUCGUGGCCUAAGAAGGGAAUAAAUCGAAAAAAAAAGGUAAUUGAUAUCCAGAGGAUGGGCAGAAAAAGUUGUGCAGAUAUAACUAAGGCGAUCAUGUGCGUUAUUAAUUGCUCAAACUGCAGCAUGUGAGGCUGCGACCAGGAGAGGAGAGUGCUUUGUUUUAAUUCUUCAUUCAUACGUUAAGGACGAUUAAGCAGAACUGUUGUUUUGAGCGGCUGAAGGCGAGAGCUCAGAGAAAUUGUCAGCUGUCAUCAAGAAAGGAGCGCUGCUCUUGACUGGAGUCUUAAUUCAUUAGCGGAUCAGGGAUUUGCUAACUUCAGUCCUAAUCGUCCCCAGUCUUCUCCCACUGAUGGUUUAUAUUUCUGUCUCUCAGUGAUUUGUAUUUUAUUGUAUUCUGCACUUUGGGAUAAUCCGGCACAAUGUGACCAAAUGGGCUUUGAGAGUCUUUCUCAGUCGUAGAGGACGGUGCGGACAUCGGCUCUCUGUACCGCCGCCGCCGCCGCUGCUGCUGCUGAUGAUGAUGAUGAUGAUGAUGCAGAGACUUUGGUUAGUUUAAAACUUCAGUCUUAAACCUGGAUCUGGUUUCUGCAGAAUAUGGAGUCCAGGUGAUGGAUAGGUGCAAAAGUUCUGACUCAGUUCCUGCAGAAAAUCAGCAAAUGCAUCUCAUGAUAUGAAGUGUUUUUAAAGUAAUUCAGAGGUUAAACAGAAUAAAGGUUUCUGUUUUAUGCUCUUCUUAGUAUGUGAAAUAAAAACUGUAGUUUUACUUUAGAUUAAAACCACAACAGUAUAUCACUUAUUCACAUUUACACUUAAAACUGCAGGGAGAUCAGCAGCUCCACUGUUCUGCAGGGUGGUGUUUUUGUUUUGCAGUGACACUGAUAUUUCAGAUAUAUAACAGACGAUCCUCUUUCUGCAGCCUUUUAUUCUUUUAAGACUCCAAAAGACGUAAAUCCAGAUCUGAGGAUAAAAACAGCGGACUAACCCUUUAAACAGGAACUAAACUGAACCUUAAACACCUGAUUUCAACCUGAAAAAGCAGAGGUGCAGUUUAACGUCUGAGUGAACAGUGUCCACGCUCCCACAGGCGUCAUAUCUCAGAGUUUGAAGCUGCAGAUAAAUGAGAGUUAUUGCAGUUAUUUCACUUACCUGCCGAAGGACUCACCUGGUUAUUACCUGGUUAUCGAUCCACGCAGACAAACAUCGUGAGAGGAAAACGUCCGGUUUCCUCUUGAGAAAGUUUCGCCCCUGCCCCACCGCCGCCGCUGUAGUUUGAAUCUGUGUGUGAAAAAGUUAAAAUGUUCAGACCCUCAGACUGCGAGAGAAAAAUCAUACUUCUGCUUUAAUUUGUAUUGAUGGCCUGGAAGAAACCAGCAUGCUUUGCAGUUCUGUGAGGGGGAAGAUGUUUAAGUGGAGAUUAAUUCAAAUUUCUGCUUGCUCAGUACUUGUAAAACUAAAGCAAUUUAUAUUCCUUCUCUUAACGAUCCCCCCUUUCUCUGAUUGCGGUAAUGUAAUCUAAUUGUAAUUAUGAUACUAUCUGAAUCAUGCAGACCUUAACAUGAUUGGAGCUACUCAUUGCAUUAAAAACUAAUUUUUGAAUAAUGAUGAAAGGAGCACUGGAAAAUGUGGAAGUAUUACAUUUUUUCUUUAUCUCUGUUUUGUGGGGGGAUCUUGUUCUCUCCCCCCUCGCUUCCCCCUUUUCCUCCCCCUCGCCUCCAGUCUUAGUUCUGGUAUAAAUGACAAGGAGUGGAUCCGGAGAGUGGUGGGGGUGCAUGAUGGGAAAUGGACCACCCCAAUUAAAGGUAUCAGGCUCAUCAGUGGCUGCAGGAUAGCGGCGUACCGCUGCGAACAAGUCGAGUGUCGUCCCACGAGGUUUAGCUUAUCAUCACAUGAGCCUCCUACGCCGUGAUUCACCCCCUCACCCAACAACCGCUCACCUCACCCGAGAGGGGAGGAGGAGGGGGGAGGAGGAGAGCUGUUCCUGCAGGAACGAUAAGACUGAAGUGGUACCAAAUGUGGAGGCAGCAGCACGACAGUGACUCUACGGUUUUAUUUCAAUGCUAACUUCACGGAUUAGUCCUUUAAUUUGGAGAAAGUAAAGUUAUUAAUGCAGAUGGGAGCUAACCAGAGUGUGUUUUCAACAGGGUUAAAGGUCAGCACCA
This 4817-nucleotide long non-coding RNA is filed under the name Xyrichtys novacula (pearly razorfish). The record is from RNAcentral. Lineage: Eukaryota; Metazoa; Chordata; Actinopteri; Labriformes; Labridae.